RNAcentral lists this long non-coding RNA (262 nucleotides) under Gossypium raimondii (Peruvian cotton). RNAcentral describes it as "long non-coding RNA (GRAI_LNC008149)". Lineage: Eukaryota; Viridiplantae; Streptophyta; Magnoliopsida; Malvales; Malvaceae. The record is from RNAcentral.
UAUAUCAUUUACUUUUUUAUACUUUUAAAAGUUUAAAUAUUAUUUUAAAAUAUUGGGAUAGAGCGGGCCAUGCAAAUACCAGAAAUGCUUCAUACCUGCCUAUCGAGAAAAAAACUGUCUUGCCCCACCUCUAGUCUUCAAGUAAAAACCCUCUCCAUUCGGGAUGGGUUGGUCUGAAAUUCAAUGGGUGGUUCGGUUUUGCCAUCCCUAUCAUGUUACUCUGGAGUUGGAUGUUUGUCAAGAUAUGUUUACUUUGUUUCCC